This 404-nucleotide ribosomal RNA is filed under the name uncultured prokaryote. Its description in RNAcentral is "bacterial SSU rRNA". It matches the Rfam family "Bacterial small subunit ribosomal RNA", at positions 355 to 774 of the family's 1533-position model. The record is from RNAcentral.
UGGGGAAUAUUGGGCAAUGGGGGAAACCCUGACCCAGCGACGCCGCGUGAGGGAAGAAGGCCUUAGGGUCGUAAACCUCUGUUGUGUGGGAAGAAGAGCGUGACGGUACCACACGAGGAAGUCCCGGCUAACUACGUGCCAGCAGCCGCGGUAAUACGUAGGGGACGCGCGUUGUCCGGAUUUACUGGGCGUAAAGGGCGCGUAGGCGGUCAUUUAAGUCAGCUGUGAAAUGGUGCGGCUUAACCGCAUCAUGCGGUUGAAACUGGAUGACUGGAGUGCUGGAGAGGUAAGUGGAAUUCCCAGUGUAGCGGUGAAAUGCGUAGAUAUUGGGAAGAACACCGGUGGCGAAGGCGACUUGCUGGCCAGCAACUGACGCUGAGGCGCGAAAGCCAGGGGAGCAAACG